RNAcentral lists this ribosomal RNA (496 nucleotides) under uncultured bacterium. RNAcentral's name for it is "partial 16S ribosomal RNA". It matches the Rfam family "Bacterial small subunit ribosomal RNA", at positions 28 to 506 of the family's 1533-position model. The record is from RNAcentral.
GAUGAACGCUGGCGGCGUGCCUAAUACAUGCAAGUCGAGCGAACAGACGAGGAGCUUGCUCCUCUGACGUUAGCGGCGGACGGGUGAGUAACACGUGGAUAACCUACCUAUAAGACUGGGAUAACUUCGGGAAACCGGCGCUAAUACCGGAUAACAUGUUGAACCGCAUGGUUUAACAGUGAAAGACGGUCUUGCUGUCACUUAUAGAUGGAUCCGGGCCGCAUUAGCUAGUUGGUAAGGUAACGGCUUACCAAGGCAACGAUGCGUAGCCGACCUGAGGGGGGGAUGGGCCCCAGUGAAGCUGACAGGCGGCCCAGGCACCGACGGAAGGCAGCAGUAGGGAAGGUUGGGAAAAGGGCGAAAGCUUGACGAAGCGGCGGAGGGCGGGUGAAGAAGGUCUGCGGAUGGUAAAACGCUGUUAGGGGGGAAAAACAAAUGUGUAUGUAACGAUGCGCGAGUUAAGGGUACCGAUAAAGAAGGCCAGGCCAACCUACGU